UGGGGGACGAUUUAGCAUGCUAGUCGCACGAGUUCAGACUCGUGGCGAAUAGCUCAGUAACACGUGGCCAAACUACCCUUCGGAACACAAUACCCUCGGGAAACUGAGGCUAAUAGUGUAUAUCGUACCACCACUGGAAAAUUGGAGUGUGUUACGCCAAACGCUCCGGCGCCGAAGGAUGUGGCUGCGGCCGAUUAGGUAGACGGUGGGGUAAACGGCCCACCGUGCCAAUAAUCGGUAUGGGUCAUGAGGAGUGAGAACCCAGAAGACGGAAUCUGAGACAAGAUUCCGGGCCCUACGGGGCGCAGCAGGCGGCGAAACCUUUACACUGCACGACAGUGCGAUAGGGGGAUCCCAAGUGCACAGGCAUAGCGCCUGUGCUUUUCGGCACCCUAAGGCGGUGCCAGAAUAAGGGCUGGGCAAGACCGGUGCCAGCCGCCGCGGUAAUACCGGCAGCCCAAGUGAUGGCCGAUCUUAUUGGGCCUAAAGCGUCCGUAGCUGGCCGCGCAAGUCCAUCGGGAAAUCCACCUGCUCAACAGGUGGGCGCCCGGUAGAAACUGCGUGGCUUGGGACCGGAAGGCGCGACGGGUACGUCCGGGGUAGGAGUGAAAUCCCGUAAUCCUGGACGGACCGCCGAUGGCGAAAGCACGUCGCGAGAACGGAUCCGACAGUGAGGGACGAAAGCCAGGGUCUCGAACCGGAUUAGAUACCCGGGUAGUCCUGGCCGUAAACAAUGUCUGCUAGGUGUGGCUCCCACUACGAGUGGGUGCUGUGCCGUAGGGAAGCCGCUAAGCAGACCGCCUGGGAAGUACGUCCGCAAGGAUGAAACUUAAAGGAAUUGGCGGGGGAGCACUACAACCGGAGGAGCCUGCGGUUUAAUUGGACUCAACGCCGGACAUCUCACCAGCAUCGACUGUAGUAAUGACGAUCAGGUUGAUGACCUUAUCCGAGCUUCAGAGAGGAGGUGCAUGGCCGCCGUCAGCUCGUACCGUGAGGCGUCCUGUUAAGUCAGGCAACGAGCGAGACCCGCACCCUUACUUGCCAGCAGUACCGCGAGGUAGCUGGGGACAGUAGGGGGACCGCCGUGGCUAACACGGAGGAAGGAACGGGCAACGGUAGGUCAGUAUGCCCCGAAUGUGCUGGGCAACACGCGGGCUACAAUGGUCGAGACAAAGGGUUCCUACUCCGAAAGGAGACGGUAAUCUCAGAAACUCGAUCGUAGUUCGGAUUGUGGGCUGCAACUCGCCCACAUGAAGCUGGAUUCGGUAGUAAUCGCGUGUCACAAGCGCGCGGUGAAUACGUCCCUGCUCCUUGCACACACCGCCCGUCAAAGCACCCGAGUGAGGUCCGGAUGAGGCGUUCCACGAACGUCGAAUCUGGGCUUCGCAAGGGGGCUAAGUCGAAUCAAG
RNAcentral lists this ribosomal RNA (1409 nucleotides) under Halorubrum sp. LYG-9. Its description in RNAcentral is "16S ribosomal RNA". It matches the Rfam family "Archaeal small subunit ribosomal RNA". The record is from RNAcentral. Lineage: Archaea; Methanobacteriati; Methanobacteriota; Halobacteria; Halobacteriales; Haloferacaceae.